UCCGAACAUGCGCGCUUUAAUUUUUUUCUGCAUGCUGCGCGAUUGUUGUUGCGCCUGCGCGUGCUAAGAAUUUGGAUACAGGUUUUAUAACGAACGCCGAAUUCUUUGAACUAAUCAAAGAUUAUGUAACAGACGUUGAAACCGAGCCAUAUGGAGACACUGAGAGCGAAGAAGAUGAUGACGUCAUUAAUUUGCCUGGUGGCCCGGAUGAUGAACUCGAUUUGGAAUUUUUAGCAGACAAACUUGGUCUGAUAAAACGUCCUGCAGAAUCAAGUGAGAUAGAACGCCAUCAUCAUCAUCAUCAUCAUCAUCACCACCACCACCACCACCAUCAUCAUCAUCAUCAUCACCAUCACCACCACCACUCGAGCGUCAGCUGUCAUUGUAAGCACUACAGUUGUAAGUGCUGCCUGCAUCAUACUUUCAAGGUCAACCUUGGCUUCCACAAGGUGAAAUUUCGUCUGCGUGCUUGUCUAGAGGUACGUUAUUUACAGAGAUGUCACGGUUUUGAAAUAACCUUCACCUUGAACGGACGUCGUCUGCUACACAAAGAAUACUCAUGUAUGUAUAAUUUCUUUCCUAUUUCAUGAAAUGUAUCUAGUCUAAAAAUUUUAAUUA
This is a long non-coding RNA of Ruditapes philippinarum (Manila clam), 618 nucleotides long. RefSeq lists it as uncharacterized. The record is from RefSeq and is a predicted model, not a curated record. The transcript has 4 exons. NCBI's taxonomy places the organism in Eukaryota, Metazoa, Mollusca, Bivalvia, Venerida, Veneridae.